This 253-nucleotide ribosomal RNA is filed under the name uncultured bacterium. Its description in RNAcentral is "partial 16S ribosomal RNA". It matches the Rfam family "Bacterial small subunit ribosomal RNA", at positions 524 to 776 of the family's 1533-position model. The record is from RNAcentral.
UACGAACUGCGCAAACGUUAUUCGGAAUCACUGGGCUUACAGGGUGCGUAGGCGGCCGAUCAGGUCCGAUGUGAAAUCCCACAGCUCAACUGUGGAAUGGCAUUGGAAACCGACCGGCUCGAGUGAGCUAGAGGUGCACGGAACUUCCGGUGGAGCGGUGAAAUGUGUUGAGAUCGGAAGGAACACCAGAGGCGAAAGCGGUGCACUGGAGCUUGUCUGACGCUGAGGCACGAAAGCCAGGGGAGCGAACGGG